GUUUUAAUAGUUUUAAAAAAAACAUUGGUCUUGUAAACCAAAAUUAAGAACCUUCUUUUAAAACU
RNAcentral lists this transfer RNA (65 nucleotides) under Neopanorpa lui. RNAcentral describes it as "tRNA-Thr". It matches the Rfam family "tRNA". Rfam says of the family: Transfer RNA (tRNA) molecules are approximately 80 nucleotides in length. Their secondary structure includes four short double-helical elements and three loops (D, anti-codon, and T loops). The record is from RNAcentral. RNAcentral also lists the same sequence under 1 other name. Lineage: Eukaryota; Metazoa; Arthropoda; Insecta; Mecoptera; Panorpidae.